GCUUAGACCUAAACACAGAUAAUACAAACACAAUAUUAUCCGCCAGAGAACUACAAGCGAAAAGCUUUAAACUCCAAGGAUUUGGCGGUGCUUCAAACCAACCUAGAGGAGCCUGUCCUAUAAUCGAUACCCCACGUUUUACCUCACCCCCCCUUGCAAACCAGCCUAUAUACCGCCGUCGCCAGCCUACCUUAUGAAAGAAACAAAGUAAGCAAAAUAAUUAAUAACUAACACGUCAGGUCAAGGUGUAGCAUAUGGGGCGGCAGAGAUGGGCUACAUUUUUCCCCAACCACACGAACGGCACACUGAAAAACAGCCCGAAGGCGGAUUUAGUAGUAAAAUAGAUAAGAGACUCUAUCUUAAAACCUGCUCUGAAGCGCGC
RNAcentral lists this ribosomal RNA (382 nucleotides) under Tropidophorus thai. RNAcentral's name for it is "partial small subunit ribosomal RNA". It matches the Rfam family "Bacterial small subunit ribosomal RNA", at positions 794 to 1384 of the family's 1533-position model. Lineage: Eukaryota; Metazoa; Chordata; Lepidosauria; Squamata; Scincidae. The record is from RNAcentral.